Molecule: ribosomal RNA, 370 nt
Filed under: uncultured organism
Description: bacterial SSU rRNA
Rfam family: Bacterial small subunit ribosomal RNA
Source: RNAcentral
CGUAGGGUGCGAGCGUUAAUCGGAAUUACUGGGCGUAAAGCGCGCGCAGGCGGUUUUGUAAGACAGAUGUGAAAUCCCCGGGCUCAACCUGGGACCUGCAUUUGUGACUGCAAGGCUAGAGUACGGUAGAGGGGGAUGGAAUUCCGCGUGUAGCAGUGAAAUGCGUAGAUAUGCGGAGGAACACCGAUGGCGAAGGCAAUCCCCUGGACCUGUACUGACGCUCAUGCACGAAAGCGUGGGGAGCAAACAGGAUUAGAUACCCUGGUAGUCCACGCCCUAAACGAUGUCAACUGGUUGUUGGGUCUUUACUGACUCAGUAACGAAGCUAACGCGUGAAGUUGACCGCCUGGGGAGUACGGCCGCAAGGUUG